CACGAUUUGGAACAUAUGGAAAGAGAGGAAUCGAAGAAUUUUUCAAAAUGAGGCCAUUUCGGAAGAAGGAGUAGCCACCCUGAUCAAGAAUGAGUUAAGCCUCCAAAGGGAGGCAAGGCGAGAGUAGUCAGCUUUACUGGAGGCGUCUUUCUGACCGCCUCUCCUUUUGUUUGUUUUUUACUUUUUUUUUACUUUUGUUAACCUUGUACAGUUGUUCCCCCUUCUAUUUGAAUCGCAGUGAAUCCUGCUUGCCCGUCAAAAAAAAGAGUUGAGACCGCUAGCUAUUCAAUGGAUCCAGGGUAUGCAAAUCGUUUCCACAAAUAUUUGGGUACAAUAAUUUUUAAUAUAAUUGCAACUUCCUAGACUUUUCCACAAAAGUGAGAGAGUGAGUGAAAGCAGCAGAGGAGGCCGGGAGAAGUGAAUGGAGGAUCAUGUUCUUCUAUAACAAUAGAAGUACAGAUGUUUUCAAAAGUCAGUUACACACUCCAUUAAACUACACAAACCUCCACUUUUCCAUUACAGCUCAUUUGGCACUUCUCAUUUUAUUUCAUUCGGUAUAACU
RNAcentral lists this long non-coding RNA (562 nucleotides) under Brachypodium distachyon (stiff brome). RNAcentral describes it as "long non-coding RNA (BDIS_LNC005310)". The record is from RNAcentral. Lineage: Eukaryota; Viridiplantae; Streptophyta; Magnoliopsida; Poales; Poaceae.